UACCUUGAAUUUUUUCUAAAAAGGACUAUUUUUAGUAUUGAUAGGAAACUAUCUANNNNNNNNNNCUAUCUAUGGCAAUAAACCGUCUAUGGAAUAGUCGUUGCGGACCCGGGGGCGGUACCCGGCGUCUCCACCAGAACAUUAGUUGAAAAUUUAUGGGGACGAAAUAGGAUCGACGUGCGUAAUAAAGAUAUUCGUUUUGCUCGGUAUAGUACCACCGUUAUCGGACUAAACAUGAUAAGAGGCAACGUAAGUUCUUCUUCAACUGGUGGACGUGGUAAUUCACGCACAGCGAAUCGUAACGUUAAAGCUGCCAAUGGCAACCGUACACGUCGCGUUGUAGCUAAAGCUGCUUAAAAGUUCGUUUUACGAAUAAUACAGUGGUUUUCCAGUAGCGGUUUGAGGGGCCCCGGGCAACAGAAUGCCCCUCGCU
Molecule: transfer-messenger RNA, 433 nt
Filed under: Alphaproteobacteria bacterium
Lineage: Bacteria; Pseudomonadati; Pseudomonadota; Alphaproteobacteria
Rfam family: Alphaproteobacteria transfer-messenger RNA
About the family: Bacterial tmRNA, also known as 10Sa RNA or SsrA, is named for its dual tRNA and mRNA-like properties. Its role is to liberate the mRNA from a stalled ribosome.
Source: RNAcentral